Molecule: long non-coding RNA, 1247 nt
Filed under: Anser brachyrhynchus (Pink-footed goose)
Lineage: Eukaryota; Metazoa; Chordata; Aves; Anseriformes; Anatidae
Description: lncRNA (ENSABRG00000015098.1)
Source: RNAcentral
CGGAGAAGCCAGCGUUCCCUGCCCAGUACACCUGGAGUGCUGAAUGCUGCAAUACACAGCCCUCUGCUUGCUCAUGCCGAACACUGCUUGAAGCAGCGUUCCCCUGUAUUUGUUACUUCCCAUUUUGCACUAACCGUCGAUAAAAUCAGCUCCUGGUCUCGUGCAUGCUCUCAGACCCCAAUUUCUAUCUCAGUCUGUGAUGACCUGAUACACUGACCACUAAGAAGGCACACACAGGAAUCCUAACCUCCUAAGACAUGCUGAAUUCAUUGGGUAUUAGCAAAAGAAACUGUAAAUACUGCAGAGAGUAGUAAAGCAAACGGCACCUUAUUGCUCCAGAGAGAUAAGCAUUAGCGAAAAAUAGCUUAAAAUGUAAUGCAGUGUACCUUUGAACCGGAACAUCCUGACUUUCAAAUCCCCCCCACUGUCAAGCUUUACUGGGGAUUGAUAGUUGAGCGUGCCAAGACAGAUCGAGCGCUGUUCUGCAUCCCACCUUACAGCCACGCUGCUUUGCACCACAAAGCAAGCAGAGGAGCAAAAUAAGAGACAACCAGGAUGCAGAGCUGCAGCGCGAGGAAAACCCCCGUAGGAAAGAGUGAUCACAAGAGGCAGAGGCAAGGAAGAAGGGAAAGGCUGGAAGAGCUGAGGCUGGAACAGAGCUGGAGAGAAACAGGAAGGGAAGGUUUCAUGCGAUGGAUUGGGCUGUAGGAGCCAAAAGCAUUCACGGCAGAGGCUUGGGGCAGGGGGAGGGCACUCAAGGACACUGCAGCAGAACUUGCAGGCACUCGGAGCUCGCGCUGAACUUUCUGUUCCCGGCUGCCUGUUUUGGAGCGUGCUCAGGGGAUGCCUCCCCUUGGGAGCUCGCCUGCUGGAAGGAGGACACGCCGCCGCAGCUCCACGGGGCUGAUGGCGUGGUGACGGCGGCGCAUAGGUAUGCUGUGAUGCAUCAGCUUUAUACGGCGCCGGAACGUCAUGCUGGGGUACAGGGAUGGCAUCUGCAGGUUUUACAGCUCCGGGGACCCUUUGUGGCCCACAACGGUAGCUGCUUGGCGCAUGUGGAAUUCAGCUGGUUCCCUUCAGGGAGGAUUGGAGCAGCUUCCUCAGGGAGACUUCCUUCUCAUCGCCUUCCUGCUCUGAUGGGACUCCAGGAUGAACAACGUCUGAGAAUGAAGCAUUUGGAGAUGGGAAAAAGGUACCAGGACUAUGUACCAGCAGGAUCAGACCAUGCACGGGCCUACAGAGCGUGA